This 29-nucleotide non-coding RNA is filed under the name Bombyx mori (domestic silkworm). The record is from RNAcentral. Lineage: Eukaryota; Metazoa; Arthropoda; Insecta; Lepidoptera; Bombycidae.
UCAGAAUACAUUAGCACAGGUUGCACAGA